This 253-nucleotide ribosomal RNA is filed under the name uncultured bacterium. RNAcentral's name for it is "partial 16S ribosomal RNA". It matches the Rfam family "Bacterial small subunit ribosomal RNA", at positions 524 to 776 of the family's 1533-position model. The record is from RNAcentral.
UACGUAGGUGACAAGCGUUGUCCGGAUUUACUGGGCGUAAAGAGCGCGCAGGCGGUCGUUCAAGUCGAGUGUGAAAGCCCCCGGCUCAACUGGGGAGGGUCAUUCGAUACUGAUCGACUCGAAGGCAGGAGAGGGUAGUGGAAUUCCCGGUGUAGUGGUGAAAUGCGUAGAUAUCGGGAGGAACACCAGUGGCGAAGGCGACUAUCUGGCCUGUUCUUGACGCUGAGGCGCGAAAGCUAGGGGAGCAAGCGGG